This 427-nucleotide ribosomal RNA is filed under the name uncultured beta proteobacterium. RNAcentral's name for it is "bacterial SSU rRNA". It matches the Rfam family "Bacterial small subunit ribosomal RNA", at positions 355 to 774 of the family's 1533-position model. The record is from RNAcentral. Lineage: Bacteria; Pseudomonadati; Pseudomonadota; Betaproteobacteria.
UGGGGAAUUUUGGACAAUGGGCGAAAGCCUGAUCCAGCCAUGCCGCGUGAGUGAAGAAGGCCUUCGGGUUGUAAAGCUCUUUUAGUCGGAAAGAAAGAGUCGCAAUGAAUAAUUGUGAUUUAUGACGGUACCGACAGAAAAAGCACCGGCUAACUACGUGCCAGCAGCCGCGGUAAUACGUAGGGUGCGAGCGUUAAUCGGAAUUACUGGGCGUAAAGGGUGCGCAGGCGGUUUUGCAAGUCAGAUGUGAAAGCCCCGGGCUUAACCCGGGAAUUGCGUUUGAAACUACAAGGCUAGAGUGCAGCAGAGGGGAGGGGAAUUCCAUGUGUAGCAGGGAAAUGCGUAGAGAUGUGGAAGAACACCGAUGGCGAAGGCAGCUCCCUGGGUUGACACUGACGCUCAGGCACGAAAGCGUGGGGAGCAACCA